AGAGUUUGAUCCUGGCUCAGAACGAACGCUGGCGGCGUGCCUAACACAUGCAAGUCGAACGGGGAUAAGUAGCUUGCUAUUUAUUCUAGUGGCGCACGGGUGAGUAACGCGUAGAUAAUCUGCCUUAGACUCUGGGAUAACAUCUCGAAAGGGGUGCUAAUACCGGAUAAGCCCACGGGGACGUGAGUUCUUGCGGGAAAAGGGGGCCUCUGCAUAUGCUCUUGAUCUAAGAUGAGUCUGCGUGCCAUUAGCUUGUUGGUAGGGUAAUGGCCUACCAAGGCGACGAUGGUUAGCUGGUCUGAGAGGAUGAUCAGCCACACUGGGACUGAGACACGGCCCAGACUCCUACGGGAGGCAGCAGUGGGGAAUUUUGCGCAAUGGGGGAAACCCUGACGCAGCAACGCCGCGUGAGUGAUGAAGGCUUUCGGGUCGUAAAGCUCUGUCUAGAGGGAAGAAGUGAUAUUCGGUUAAUACCCGGGUUUCUUGACGGUACCUCUGAAGGAAGCACCGGCUAACUCCGUGCCAGCAGCCGCGGUAAUA
This 540-nucleotide ribosomal RNA is filed under the name uncultured bacterium. RNAcentral's name for it is "bacterial SSU rRNA". It matches the Rfam family "Bacterial small subunit ribosomal RNA", at positions 8 to 525 of the family's 1533-position model. The record is from RNAcentral.